GAUGAACGCUGGCGGCGUGCCUAAUACAUGCAAGUCGAGCGAACGGACGAGAAGCUUGCUUCUCUGAUGUUAGCGGCGGACGGGUGAGUAACACGUGGAUAACCUACCUAUAAGACUGGGAUAACUUCGGGAAACCGGAGCUAAUACCGGAUAAUAUUUUGAACCGCAUGGUUCAAAAGUGAAAGACGGUCUUGCUGUCACCUAUAGAUGGAUCCGAGCUGCAUUAGCUAGCUGGUAAGGUAACGGCUUACCAAGGCAACGAUGCAUAGCCGACCUGAGAGGGUGAUCGGCCACACUGGAACUGAGACACGGUCCAGACUCCUACGGGAGGCAGCAGUAGGGAAUCUUCCGCAAUGGGCGAAAGCCUGACGGAGCAACGCCGCGUGAGUGAUGAAGGUCUUCGGAUCGUAAAACUCUGUUAUUAGGGAAGAACAUAUGUGUAAGUAACUGUGCACAUCUUGACGGUACCUAAUCAGAAAGCCACGGCUAACUACGUG
This 497-nucleotide ribosomal RNA is filed under the name uncultured bacterium. RNAcentral describes it as "partial 16S ribosomal RNA". It matches the Rfam family "Bacterial small subunit ribosomal RNA", at positions 28 to 507 of the family's 1533-position model. The record is from RNAcentral.